RNAcentral lists this ribosomal RNA (433 nucleotides) under uncultured bacterium. Its description in RNAcentral is "partial 16S ribosomal RNA". It matches the Rfam family "Bacterial small subunit ribosomal RNA", at positions 29 to 507 of the family's 1533-position model. The record is from RNAcentral.
AACGAACGCUGGCGGCAUGCCUAACACAUGCAAGUCGAACGAACCCUUCGGGUGUAGUGUCGCACGAGUUCGUAACGCGUGGGAACAUUCCCUUAGGGUCGGACUAACUCCCCGACAGGGAUGCUUAUACCAGAUCAUAUCUUCUGCCCAAUGAUUUAUCGCACUUGGAUGGUCCCUAGUUGAAUUCGCUAUUUGGUAGGGUAAUAGACUCCUAAGGGGACGAUGAGUAGCUGGUCUGAGAGGAAGAUCAGCGACACUGGGACUGAGACACGGCCUGGAAUCCUACGGGAGGCAGGAGUGGGUGACAGUGGAAAAUGGGGGAAGUGCUGAACCAGUAAGGACGGGUGAGCGAUGAAGGCAGUAGAGUUGUAAAGUUCAUGUAACCGGGAUGAUAAUGACAGUACCGGGAGAAUAAGCCCCGGCUAACUACGUG